AUUGAACGCUGGCGGCAGGCCUAACACAUGCAAGUCGAACGGUAACAGGAAGCAGCUUGCUGCUUUGCUGACGAGUGGCGGACGGGUGAGUAAUGUCUGGGAAACUGCCUGAUGGAGGGGGAUAACUACUGGAAACGGUAGCUAAUACCGCAUAACGUCGCAAGACCAAAGAGGGGGACCUUAGGGCCUCUUGCCAUCGGAUGUGCCCAGAUGGGAUUAGCUAGUAGGUGGGGUAACGGCUCACCUAGGCGACGAUCCCUAGCUGGUCUGAGAGGAUGACCAGCCACACUGGAACUGAGACACGGUCCAGACUCCUACGGGAGGCAGCAGUGGGGAAUAUUGCACAAUGGGCGCAAGCCUGAUGCAGCCAUGCCGCGUGUAUGAAGAAGGCCUUCGGGUUGUAAAGUACUUUCAGCGGGGAGGAAGGGAGUAAAGUUAACACCUUUGCUCAUUGACGUUACCCGCAGAAGAAGCACCGGCUAACUCCGUG
RNAcentral lists this ribosomal RNA (490 nucleotides) under uncultured bacterium. RNAcentral describes it as "partial 16S ribosomal RNA". It matches the Rfam family "Bacterial small subunit ribosomal RNA", at positions 30 to 507 of the family's 1533-position model. The record is from RNAcentral.